ACUUAAAACUCAAAGGACUUGGCGGUGUCCCACAUUCGACCUAGAGGAGCCUGUCCUAUAAUCGAUACUCCCCGCUCUACCUCACCAGCACUAGCACUAACUUCAGCCUAUAUACCGCCGUCGACAGCUUACCCCCUGAGGGUUUAACAGUAAGCACAAUAGUCCUACCACUAACACGUCAGGUCAAGGUGUAGCUAAUGUGCUGGCAGAGAUUGGCUACAUUUUUUACUUUAAAAAACACGAAAUGCUAUAUGAAAAACAGCAUGAAGGCGAAUUUAGUAGUAAAACAGACA
RNAcentral lists this ribosomal RNA (293 nucleotides) under Gallotia galloti palmae. RNAcentral's name for it is "partial 12S ribosomal RNA". It matches the Rfam family "Bacterial small subunit ribosomal RNA", at positions 892 to 1349 of the family's 1533-position model. Lineage: Eukaryota; Metazoa; Chordata; Lepidosauria; Squamata; Lacertidae. The record is from RNAcentral.